UCAUCAUCUUCUUCUUGUUCUUC
This 23-nucleotide small RNA is filed under the name Arabidopsis thaliana (thale cress). RNAcentral describes it as "ATSL001130". The record is from RNAcentral. Lineage: Eukaryota; Viridiplantae; Streptophyta; Magnoliopsida; Brassicales; Brassicaceae.